AUUUUGAGCUGCAAGUGACGGCCAAUCGAGAGGCAAGCAGCAGCAGUGCACGAUGCUGGGAAGUCAAUAUGACUGCAGUGUGUCUGUGGUAUCUCCCUGUACACAGAGCUAAUCUCUCGCUUAUAUUCUACACUUCGAUUAAAUCAAUUUUCAAGCUCCUUACCGCACGAAACAGGCAGUUCCUCCAGGCAUUUAUUUCCAAUACGUUUCCGGUGGAGUUGGUGCUUCAAUCAGUAAAAAUAUUGUGUGGAAAUAUUAAGCUACAAGCGAUGCAUAGUGAGAUGGAAACGGAGCAG
Molecule: long non-coding RNA, 296 nt
Organism: Corticium candelabrum
Lineage: Eukaryota; Metazoa; Porifera; Homoscleromorpha; Homosclerophorida; Plakinidae
Exons: 3
Source: RefSeq, a predicted model, not a curated record